This 292-nucleotide ribosomal RNA is filed under the name uncultured bacterium. Its description in RNAcentral is "partial 16S ribosomal RNA". The record is from RNAcentral.
GGACUACUGGGGUAUCUAAUCCCAUUUGCUCCCCCGGCUUUCGUUCCUCAGCGUCAGUUUAAGCCCAGCAAUCCGCUUACGCCACCGGUGUUCUUCCCAAUAUCUACGCAUUUCACCGCUACACUGGGAAUUCCGAUUGCCUCUACUUAACUCCAGUCUCACAGUAUCCAGUGCGAUCCCGAGGUUGAGCCCCGGUCUUUAACACCAGACUUAUGAAACCACCUACGAACUCUUUACGCCCAAUAAAUCCGGACAACGCUCGCAUCCUACGUCUUACCGCGGCGGCUGGCAC